Molecule: ribosomal RNA, 497 nt
Filed under: uncultured bacterium
Lineage: Bacteria
Description: partial 16S ribosomal RNA
Rfam family: Bacterial small subunit ribosomal RNA
Source: RNAcentral
GAUGAACGCUGGCGGCGUGCCUAAUACAUGCAAGUCGAGCGAACAGACGAGGAGCUUGCUCCUCUGACGUUAGCGGCGGACGGGUGAGUAACACGUGGAUAACCUACCUAUAAGACUGGGAUAACUUCGGGAAACCGGAGCUAAUACCGGAUAAUAUAUUGAACCGCAUGGUUCAAUAGUGAAAGACGGUUUUGCUGUCACUUAUAGAUGGAUCCGCGCCGCAUUAGCUAGUUGGUAAGGUAACGGCUUACCAAGGCAACGAUGCGUAGCCGACCUGAGAGGGUGAUCGGCAACACUGGAACUGAGACACGGUCGAGACUCCGACGGGAGGCAGCAGUAGGGAAUAUUGCGCAAUGGGCGAAAGCCUGACGGAGCAACGCAGCGUGAGUGAUGAAGGUCUUCGGAUCGUAAAACUCUGUUAUUAGGGAAGAACAAAUGUGUAAGUAACUAUGCACGGCUGGACGGUACCUAAUCAGAAAGGCACGGCUAACUACGUG